GCCCGUGUAGUGUAGAUGGUUAUCACUGUGGAUUCAUAAGCUUCGAGCGUAUGAAUAACCCGCCAACCCGAGUUCGAGUCUCGGCACAGGCA
Naganishia friedmannii is the source of this 92-nucleotide non-coding RNA. The record is from the annotation of a GenBank genome assembly. NCBI's taxonomy places the organism in Eukaryota, Fungi, Basidiomycota, Tremellomycetes, Filobasidiales, Filobasidiaceae.